UCUCUUUGUUUUUUAUUAAAUUUUAAUUUAAAAUUUUACAUUUUUUUUAAGCUAGAGAUGCAUAUAUGGUAAAUUUACAAAACAAAAUCCAACGCUAAUUACCAAGUCUCUUUUUGCUUUUAAAUUUGUAAGGUGCAGCAGAUAUCAUAAUAAUUUCUCUUUCCUUCCUUCGGGUUUAGUUUUCUUUGCAAUUUCUCCAUGUUUUUCAGAAAACCUUUACUACCAACUCCAUGGAAAGGCCACCACAGAGGAAAUAACUUCUCCAAAACCAAUGUAACACAUUAUUAUUACACCCUUUUCUCUGUCAGAUACAUUCUCUUCCUCUUAAUCUUCCUUUCUUCCUGCUUUCUUUUACUUAUUGCUCCCUUUUGCUUUUCCUCUACUUACACUGAACUGCUUUUCCCCAAUACUACAACAAGAAAAUGGCUGCCAAUCACCCCCACUACUUGCCCUGGAAACCUGUCACUCUUUGUGUAUCAGCUGCCACCUGACUUCAACCUGGGUCUCCUCCGCGACUGCACCCACCUCAACGUUUACACGGACAUGUGUCCCCAUGUCGCCAACCACGGCCUUGGUCAACCGAUGUCCUCUGCCGGCUCCUGGUUCGCCACCCACCAGUUUCUUGCUGAGAUGAUCUUCCACGCCCGACUCGAGAACCACCCAUGUCGCACCUGGGAUGCCACCCUUGCCAAUCUCUUCUACGUCCCCUUUUAUGGUGGUCUCUACGCAUCCAGCAAGUUCCGCGAAGCCAAUCUAACCGCACGCGAUGAAUUAGCCGUUAGAUUAGUUGAGUACCUCCAAAUGCAGCCAUGGUGGCAUAGGCAUCUGGGGAAGGACCAUUUUUUAGCCCUGGGGAGAACCGCAUGGGAUUUCAUGAGGAACACCAAUGGUGGGCCGGACUUCGGAGCCAACUGCCUCCUAAAUUUGCCACCUGUCAAAAACAUGUCGGUGCUGACCGUAGAGAGACAGCCAUGGCAAGGAUCAAAUCAAUACGGCGUGCCGUACCCUUCCUAUUUCCACCCAUCCAGUGUCGUUCAGAUGAAUGCGUGGCAGCAGAAGAUGAUUCGAGCAGAGAGGAACCACCUAUUUUCUUUCAUUGGAGGUCCUCGGAAGGGGGUGGAGAAAGCCGCCGUACGAGAUGAGUUAAUAAAGCAAUGCAAUGAGUCAACUCGGUGCAAGCUUCUGAUAUGCGGGAGGAACGGCGACAGUAAAUGCCAUGAACCGUUGGAGGUGAUUAAGGUAUUAAGUCAGUCUCAUUUUUGUUUGCAAGCGCCAGGAGACUCGUUCACCAGACGAUCGACAUUCGACUCAGUGCUGGCGGGUUGCAUACCGGUGUUCUUCUCGAAGCACACGGCGUACACCCAGUACGGCUGGUAUUUUCCAGCGAAUGCGAGUGCAUAUUCGGUUUACAUAGAUGAGAGUGAGAUUGAGAAGAAAAGCAUAGAGGAAGAGCUCUCGAAGAUUUCGAGCGAUAGAGUGGAGAGAAUGCGUAGAAAAAUAAUAGAGGUGAUGCCAACUCUAACUUAUGCCCACCCGAAUUCUAGCAACAUUCGAUUUCGCGACGCGGUUGAUGUUGCACUUACAGCUCUAGUUCAGUUUAAGCAUGCACCCUCCAAAUCAUAAGGGAUGUUAUGAAAGUAGUGUUUUCUUCUCUCUUCUACAUUGAUAUAAUUAAGAAUUUAUUUACCCAAAAGAUCAAUAAAAAAAGUAUAAUAAUUAUAAAUUUUACUUAAUAUGAGAAUAAA
This 1745-nucleotide unclassified non-coding RNA is filed under the name Hevea brasiliensis (rubber tree). The record is from RNAcentral. Lineage: Eukaryota; Viridiplantae; Streptophyta; Magnoliopsida; Malpighiales; Euphorbiaceae.